RNAcentral lists this ribosomal RNA (574 nucleotides) under Bacillus pumilus. RNAcentral describes it as "bacterial SSU rRNA". It matches the Rfam family "Bacterial small subunit ribosomal RNA", at positions 565 to 1139 of the family's 1533-position model. The record is from RNAcentral. Lineage: Bacteria; Bacillati; Bacillota; Bacilli; Caryophanales; Bacillaceae.
GGGCUCGCAGGCGGUUUCUUAAGUCUGAUGUGAAAGCCCCCGGCUCAACCGGGGAGGGUCAUUGGAAACUGGGAAACUUGAGUGCAGAAGAGGAGAGUGGAAUUCCACGUGUAGCGGUGAAAUGCGUAGAGAUGUGGAGGAACACCAGUGGCGAAGGCGACUCUCUGGUCUGUAACUGACGCUGAGGAGCGAAAGCGUGGGGAGCGAACAGGAUUAGAUACCCUGGUAGUCCACGCCGUAAACGAUGAGUGCUAAGUGUUAGGGGGUUUCCGCCCCUUAGUGCUGCAGCUAACGCAUUAAGCACUCCGCCUGGGGAGUACGGUCGCAAGACUGAAACUCAAAGGAAUUGACGGGGGCCCGCACAAGCGGUGGAGCAUGUGGUUUAAUUCGAAGCAACGCGAAGAACCUUACCAGGUCUUGACAUCCUCUGACAACCGUAGAGAUAGGGCUUUCCCUUCGGGGACAGAGUGACAGGUGGUGCAUGGUUGUCGUCAGCUCGUGUCGUGAGAUGUUGGGUUAAGUCCCGCAACGAGCGCAACCCUUGAUCUUAAUUGCCAGCAUUCAGUUGGGCACU